AUGAUAUGCUUCUUUGCAGUCGAGUGGCACUUUGUAGACCGUGUGGCAAGACAAUUUGGAAGAAGACAAGGUAUUCCAAUUGAGGAGAGCAAAGAGCAAAUGCUAUCUCUGCAUCGGUUCGAUCGAAGGAACAAUCAGGAUAUAUCGGAUUGGGCAAACAAACACCAUGCAUGGAUAGAAAUUUGGAAUCAAAGAGACACACUAGUGCAAUCAGAGAAUAGACCUCACAAUCAGUUAGCAUAUCAGAAGUAUCAAGUGUGGUAUGCGGAUCGUUACCGGUUAAAGCUGAAGCCAGGUUGGACUCACGAGGAGUGGUCGGAGUUGGUGUCUGAAGACCUGGAGACUGCAGAAGGUUAUCAUACCUUCAACACGGCUGUGAGAGACACCAGAGGGGCUCAUGUUGACUACGCACCGAUGCAUGACGAAAUGGUAGUCUGUUUGACCUAUUCUAACAUAUUUGCAUCAUGUUGUCUUCUUUCAAAUACAUAA
This 489-nucleotide ribosomal RNA is filed under the name Triticum aestivum (bread wheat). RNAcentral describes it as "partial small subunit ribosomal RNA". Lineage: Eukaryota; Viridiplantae; Streptophyta; Magnoliopsida; Poales; Poaceae. The record is from RNAcentral.